Molecule: long non-coding RNA, 389 nt
Organism: Hordeum vulgare subsp. vulgare (domesticated barley)
Lineage: Eukaryota; Viridiplantae; Streptophyta; Magnoliopsida; Poales; Poaceae
Exons: 2
Source: RefSeq, a predicted model, not a curated record
UGAUGCUUCUCGCACUGAGCAACCACCUUCUACACAGUCAGGACCGUCGCACGCACACUCUGGUUGGGGCUGGCCCUCGCCGCCAUGAUUCUCAGGGUCUUUGGGAGUUAGACUGGCUUCAUGUUCCUUCCGCUGCCACCACUAUCGCCAGUUCCUCCGCUUCGGUCGCCUCUACUACCGGUUCCUUCCAGCAGUGGCAUCAUCGACUUGGUCAUCUUUGUGGUUCUCGCUUGUCAUCUUUAGUUCGUCGAGGUCUUCUGGGGUCUGUCUCAGGAGAUGUCUCUUUAGAAUGUCAGGGUUGCCGUCUUGGCAAGCAGAUUCAAUUACCAUAUUCGCAUAGUGAGUCGGUGUCUAAGCGUCCUUUUGAUUUAGUCCAUUCUGAUGUAUGG